UCCCGGAUAGUGAAACGGUUAACACGUCAGACUCUCACUCUGGAGAUCGGGGUUCGAUUCCCCGUCCGGGAG
Atractiella rhizophila is the source of this 72-nucleotide non-coding RNA. The record is from the annotation of a GenBank genome assembly. Lineage: Eukaryota; Fungi; Basidiomycota; Atractiellomycetes; Atractiellales; Hoehnelomycetaceae.